This 496-nucleotide ribosomal RNA is filed under the name uncultured bacterium. Its description in RNAcentral is "partial 16S ribosomal RNA". It matches the Rfam family "Bacterial small subunit ribosomal RNA", at positions 28 to 506 of the family's 1533-position model. The record is from RNAcentral.
GAUGAACGCUGGCGGCGUGCCUAAUACAUGCAAGUCGAGCGAACAGACGAGGAGCUUGCUCCUCUGACGUUAGCGGCGGACGGGUGAGUAACACGUGGAUAACCUACCUAUAAGACUGGGAUAACUUCGGGAAACCGGAGCUAAUACCGGAUAAUAUAUUGAACCGCAUGGUUCAAUAGUGAAAGACGGUUUUGCUGUCACUUAUAGAUGGAUCCGCGCCGCAUUAGCUAGUUGGUAAGGUAACGGCUUACCAAGGCAACGAUGCGUAGCCGACCUGAGAGGGUGAUCGGCCACACUGGAACUGAGACACGGUCCAGACUCCGACGGGAGGCAGCAGUAGGGAAUCUUCCGCAAUGGGCGAAAGCCUGACGGAGCAACGCCGCGUGAGUGAUGAAGGUCUUCGGAUCGUAAAACUCUGUUAUUAGGGAAGAACAAAUGUGUAAGUAACUAUGCACGUCUUGACGGUACCGAAUCAGAAAGCCACGGCGAACUACGU